GAUGAACGCUGGCGGCAUGCCUAAGACAUGCAAGUCGAACGAAGUGGCCCAACAAUAACCGAGUGCUUGCACAAAGUUUGCGAUGGAAUUUCCACUUAGUGGCAGACGGGUGAGUAACACGUAAGUAACCUACCUCAGAGACUGGAAUAAUGUCUGGAAACGGACACUAAUACCGGAUAAUUCGUAUUUGGAUAACUAAAUACGCUAAAAGGAGCGUUUGCUUCACUUUGAGAUGGGCUUGCGGCGUAUUAACUAGUUGGUGGGGUAAUGGCCUACCAAGGUGACGAUGCGUAGCCGAACUGAGAGGUUGAUCGGCCACAUUGGGACUGAGACACGGCCCAA
Molecule: ribosomal RNA, 342 nt
Filed under: uncultured bacterium
Lineage: Bacteria
Description: bacterial SSU rRNA
Rfam family: Bacterial small subunit ribosomal RNA
Source: RNAcentral